AAAUGAGGAUUUGAGUGAAGAAAAAAAGGAGAUGGAGGAGGACUGAGGAGAGGCAGACAGUCGAAGAGGAAGCUGAAAUGAAGAGUUGAGCGGUGUGUUCUCACUCUCCUGCCCUGUCUGUACUGCUCUCCAGGGAGCCAGAAUUCUGGAAAAGUAGCGGAAAGAAAGUCAGGGUGAGUCAGAUGGGGUAAAGAAAGAUGGGAAGUCCUGGAAAGAAAAACAUCUGCUUCACUUUCUGUUUUAAGGCAGAAAAGGAUGUCAGACUCUCAGAUGAAGAACACGGUUUACUUUGGAGUUUGUCUUGGUGUAACGGAGCUUUGGUUUGUGUAACUUCUCCAAAACUUCGUAAAACUUGAAUUCAAGUCCCAGAAGUGCGUUGUUUUGUACGUUAUUAUUCUCAACUCUGUCGGGUUUUUCAAACGUGGUGUUACUCUGUUAACAGUAAAGGGUUUCUGUCUUGAGUUGGUUGUGCUGAAGGUGAAAAUGACGGAAGAUUAGUUAAUAUGAAGAGUGAUGAUGAUAAUGAGAAGGAGGAGGAUGUGCCAGACGGAUGACAGAUAUGGUUGUACAUAGAUAUCUCUUUUAUCGGUGAUGAAUGAUGUGUAAUUUCUUUGUCCGGAAGACAGUGAAGUACUCAUAAUCAAACAUCCUGUAUCAGUGAGAACCAAACAGUAAUGGCUGAUAAACAUGGCGGUAUUAUUUUAAACACUUUUCUUUGGUUAAGUUUUUACAUUUAUGGCAUUUAAGACUUUUAUUCCACUGGAUUUGUAUCUGUAUUUGCUUGAUAACUAUUUCAGAUUUGAUAUGCACUUAGACUGUGUUAUAAUUUUGAGAGGACACUGGUGAUAUCAAUUGACUCUUACAGCAGAUCAAUAUCAGGACUUCUAGGAAGAGACCCACAACUAGUGUCAAUAUAAGGACCUGAUCAUCCAAUCCAAUGUAAAGUGCUUUGAGGGUCUCUGAUAAAGCCCUAUAUGAAAUCUGAUGCAUUAUUAUUAUUAUUAUUAUUAUUAUUAUUAUUAUUAUUAUUAUUAUUAUUAUUAUCAUUAUUAUUAUUAUUAUCAUACACAUUGGCUGCAUGUUGAGUUGAUGUAGUAACUUCACUUCUGCCCAUUGUCAGAUUUGAAGCGUAAACUCCCCCUUGAUACAGUAGAUGCUGGUGCAUUAUGCAGGUGGAACCAUGGUGAGCGUAGACAGGACCUAGUAGAGCUCUUGGGUUGAUUUGAAGCAGACACUUCUGGAUUUGGAGAGUCCAAUUGUUACCUCUCUCAGUUUCUUCUUUACUCUGCUCGUCCACUACUGAACACUUAAGGAGCCUGAAUUUGUCAACAGUGCUGUCAAUCAGUCAUCUGUUUAAAAUGAAUUAACUAAUGGAAACUAAACCUUUUGGGAAAAUGAACACUUGGAUAUAAAUAAACAAGAUAAGAGCUCACUAUGAUGUCAUUGACAUUGCUCGAGAAAAUCUUUCUUGACAUGUAUCGUAAUUUUAGAGUUCGAUUCAUGUCCAAUCUGUUAACAUUAAGGAGACGAUGCCUUAGGAUUUCUUCUGCAGCCAGUCAGGGGAGCUCUAAAGUUUGGGCUUUACUUUCGGAUGAGCUUACAGGUUUUAACACAGUAUUGUAUACAUAAAAAAAUGUAAAAUUUGAGUCUUUGUAAGAAGGUUUAACAGCGACUUUGACUUAAUUUGAUCAAUCAGACUAACAUGGCUCCCUUCGUUCUGAACAUGGCAAGCAGGAAAAAGGACUUGACAAUAGAUUGCUUUAAGUUUGGUUAACUUCAGACAGAAGUAGCAGAGAUUUAAAACUUUACGUCUCAGUUGCUCAACCUGAACUGAACUCUGACGGAGGUCUUAAAAUACCCCUAUGAAAGGUAACUCCCUGAGUUUAAUCUCCAUUUGUACUUUUCAAACAGAGCGAAUGUUAAUAUAAUGAGGGUAAGAAAUCCAACUAUGCGUCUUUUAUUUUAUGAAACAUAGAGGAGGUUAUUAAACUGGAAAAGGUCAAUCAUAAUGUCGGGGUUUCGUCAGGUAAGCUGAGAUGAGGAGUGGCUCUGUGGCCUGAGAGGUCAGGUUAAUUAUUCAGAGGUUGAUUGUUCUGGUCUUUUGGUGCGGCGCUCAAAGGGGCGAUGCUGUAUUGUGCCCUCGUGUCAUAACUGCAGCUCGCUUUUCCAAUCUCACUUUGUUAAUGUUUGUCACCGGUGAGAAAAGGUCUCAACAGGCAUCUCAGUUCAGACGAGCAUCUAAGGCUGAAAUCAGUUCAGUUUUUUAUCUUUUCCUCCCAGAUGUUUCACUUUGUAUGUCAAAGAAUUUCUCCUUUCCAGACAUGAAUCAGAAAAAAAAAAUAGAGCUCAUAAAGAAAACAUCCUUGUUCACUCGAAGUCAAGUUGACUCAAAAAAACAUCAUUAAUCAGUAACCCACAGUGAGGGGAACACUGUUGAUGUCUGACCUUCUUUCUGUUUAUUCAACCUACUUUUUAAAUCAAAGUGGCUCUUGUGGUCCAUACAAAGUGUUUUAGGGGACAGUUAGAAAAGACAAAGACAUCAACAAACAGUGAGACAGAUGAAAAAGUCGCAAAAAAGUCCAGAUCAAGCAAAAGCACCGCCUUAAAGUUAAAUGAAGUUAAAUUAAUUUAUAAAGAUGAUACUUGAAACAUAUUUUCAAAGAGUAUUAAAUAUUGGUGAUUAAUUAAUAUUUAAAAGCACCCUGAGAAGUUUUCAUUUUGUAUUGACUUUAGUGACCCUUGUGGACCCCUAUUUAAGUGUUUUUCAAGAUGAAGACUGCAUUUCCCAUGAGCAUCAUUACCCAGCUCUUAAGUUUGCAUGUGUUUUUGUCAAAACUAAAUGAACUUCAUAUCUUCUUUUCAAUAACAUUUUUGUUAAAGCUCCAGUAAGGAACUUUCCGGUUGUGUCAUUUUUGGUGCCCCCUGUGAGCACGGCAGUCUCUGAUUAUCUUGACCUCUACAUGCUCAAGAAUAAUCUCAAUAUUUCUGGCGUCUCACAUUUAAAUCAAUCAGGUCAAUACCACUCCUCAAUAUUUCCAUAUUCCACUCAAGUUUUUGUUUCCUCCAAUCAUUUCUCUGCAAGUACUUCACUUUGGAAAUUUGGUUUAAAUUGAUAAAAUUAAUGAGACUCCUCAGAGUACAGCCAGUGAUUGCAGAAAAAAAGCUCCUUUGGAGAACUUUAAACUUUGGUAGAUUUGCUCAAGUUAUCUUUUUUCAGCUAUUUUGGCAUUUAAAGCUCCUGUGAAUCACACUGUGGUCAGGGCGGUUCACCGUGUAUCUUAUCUUGUACGUGUGUCGGUAGUUUGUUCCAAUGAAAAAUGUCAGUUUCCUCACCCGUAACUGUCAAAAUGUUACUCAGCUUUAAAUGUAAACAGAGGUUAUUGCUUCACUCCGUCAUCCAGGACUCAUACCAUAUAUGAAGUUAAAGUCUGUCACAAACUCCCCAUUAGUCACAUCAGAAACACGCACUAGAAAUACCAGAAGAAUCAGCUUUACUGUUUUACUCUUGAUGAUUUUUGGAAGUAUUAGUCAGUCAGUUUCAUAACCAGAUAAAAUCUCAUCCUCCUGAAGUUUGGAUCCACUGUAAAACAAGACCAGCCUGGGAGACUGUGUGCUGUACAUAUGGCUUCUGUAACUUUUUAUUGUACAUGUGCAUGUUCACGCUCACUGACUUUCACUUCUUGUACUUUGCAGAGAGCAGUCAGACUUAUUUUCUUCUGUGUCUGGUUUCAGUUAAUUCACCCCAAACAGCCAACGUAUCGUUGCUGUGAGCUAACUUUAGUGAGAAACAGACUCACCGAUUCUAUCACUGUGUUAUUGUUCAGCUCAGCCCUGGACUGAACUCAGAACUUAGUAGAAACUCUGAGGUCCACCAAACCUCUUCCUCUCUUUUGUUGUCUCAUACCUUUAUUUUUUUACAUCUUUGUCGCUGAAAGUGAACCAUUUCAAGCUUUUUUAUCAGCUUUUCCAGUGAUGUCUUUGCAUCCUUGCACCCUAAAACACACUCUGCAUCCUCUGAACUCAGUAAUAGCAUAUAAAACAAGGACACAACAAUAGAAAGUGGAUUUCUAGACCUCUACUUGAGCUCAGUGUAUGUAGAGGGUUUCAGUUUAUCUGUGGUUGAACUGUGGGCAGCUGAAACUCCAACUUGCUCUGCAGAGUAAAAGUUUGACUCAUAUCUGCACCUUCCUGACCUAGAUACAUAUUUGUCUUCACAUAUUCCAAUAAGACAGUUAUAAUAAUGGUGUCUGCUUUUUUCAUCUCUAAAGCCAAACACAGCGCAUCUUUAUUGAAACCCCAGGAUGAAACACAAAAUUAGUUUCCACUCAGUUUGUUUGGAGUGUAAUUAAAUUUAAUGCUAACAUAUGGACUGUCCUGUUAUUGGCUGUAAAGUACAGUUUGUACUGACUGUGUAUGUGUUUGUACAACACUUCCCACUCUUCGGGACCAGCGGGUCUUUACUGCUUUCACCUCUCUCUGCAUUGAAUGAAUCAGAACUUACACUGAAACAAUAUCUGACUUUUGGUCCUCAAGUCAAAGCUUUUCCUUUUCUGCACCAUCAUGCUUGGUGUUUUUAUUAACACAAAAGAAACUAAAAAUUGACAAUUGUAUUCUUUGAAAUUUGUGAUCCAAAGUCUCUAUUUUUAUUUAACAAAACAUAGCUCUUCUUAUUUUUACCUGAAGUUGUUCAAUCUUACACCAGCAACUCUGACGUUAAGCCUGCUCAAUAUGAAAAACAUAUUAGAUGUGUCUUGAUAGUAAUUGAUAUUUCUGAUUUAAUGUUAUAAAUCAGUUUUUUUGCAAUGUCUUUAUUGCAGUUCCUCAUUUUGCAGCAUUGAUAAACAUGCAGCUCGGGUUGAAUCUUGUUUUGCAAUAGUAGAAACCAUCAGCUGUUGUCCCAUUGUAUUUUAAGCCAUGUGGAGCCAUCGCCAACUGUAGGGGGGUUUUGAGUCGAGCCAGCAGCCGCAGACGACUUUUUACUCAAGCCUUUCACAGUUUUCCUGCAUUUACAGUCUAACUCACAAUUUAUUGGUGAUACUUCAGAGCAGAUUUUAAGCUGCUCUACCGUGCAGAUAUCUGUUGGACGACGUGGGAGCAAAAUGUUCUUUGUGGUGGUUUGGAUUUCAGUCUACCCCACACAGACUGUGUGUCACAUCGUAUAAAGCCAAAGCCCACUGAAUAGUUCUAUUACCUAUAGGAUCCAGAACACAUGUGAUACCAAAACCUGGACCAGCGCCUAAAGACUGUAUUUAUUUGCAGAAUCUGUAAGCUGAGAUGAUUGAAGCUUCUUGAAUAUUAGUCACAGAAGACAGAAAAUGACUCUGCCCUCUUUUCCUCUCCUUUCCUUUUUCCUUUAUUUUAAUCAUUAAGUGUGAAGAAGUAGAGGGUCCAGGUUAACCCAGCUAGAGCUCAAGCCAACACAGGCUUCUUGCCUCAACUUUGCCUUACCGGUGCUUUAUGCUGCGCUCCAGUUGUACUCGGAAGUUGGGAUUUCCGUGCUGCAAUCGGAAAUUCAUCUGGAACGCCCCCCUGAAGUCAGAUCUCCGUCUCGGAAAGUCGGACGAUCCUCACUCACCAACCCCGACUUGACGACAACAGCAUAAUUCAAGAUGGCAGUGCAGUGCAUCAACAGUAAAGAGUAACAGUAAAAGCUCUCGUAAUGUAUUAUUUAUUAGCACUUUCUGUUUUGUUAUUGUGAGAUCAAAUAAGUGGUAGAUGUUGUAAUGCCCAAUGUCUAACUGUGAACACGGUGCUAUGGUGUUUGUAGAGUAAAAUACUGUGUUGUGCAUUGUUUACAACUGGUAUGGCUAACAACGGCUAGCAACCGCUAACAACGGCUGGCAAUUGUAAACAACAGCUAACAACAGGUAACUGUAGGCGUCCAUCUUGAUUUUGCGACUUGUUAACUGGAACACUGUCAACUCGGGUAUAGCGUCAUCCGACUUCUGAGGUAACUGGAACGCAGCAGCUCCAGAGAGAUCCUUUCUUACUUUCCCUUGCUGAUUUAGGGGCGUAGGGGGAGGUAGAGCUUACAGCCAAACCCUUGCUCAGAAGGACUUGGACCCAAACAAGCUUCUGGCCCUGACUCAGCCUUUCCUGUCCUCGUUUUUUGUCAUGAGAAGUCAGGACAAGAAAGUGGAACUAUCAAGUGAAAUGCUGAGACUCUCACAGUUGCACUUUUUAAAGUUGUUAUCACAUAUGUAGCACUUUUUUGACAGUAACAUGUUUACGUGAUUGUCUUAUAUGUACUGUUAAUGUGUUUUGAAUGGCAGUGCAUGUGAGAGGUCGGUCUUGAAACGGUGUGUCUGAGUCAACCUUAGUUUUUCAGUGCCACGCUGGUGUUGUUCUCCAUGGUGGUAGCUGCUAAUGGGCAGUUGACAAGAAGCGGCUAUCACAGCAAUUUCCUGCUUUUGUUCAGACACUGAAACAGAUUUCUGUGAUGAAACGUAGACACAGAUAUGGUGAAACAACACAAGCACUUACAUUUAAAGUGUUUGCAGAAUCAGCAGCUGGAUUUGAAGUCUUUCUGGUACACAAAGUUUGCAGGUUGAGCCUGUUGAUGGCACAGAUGAUCUGAAUAACUAUCUUUAACCUCUCAGCCUUUGAUGCAAUUGUAAUACUCAUCUUAAUUUUGUCCUCCUCUGUUAUAUUUCCUCCCCUCCCUUCCUUUUUAAGGUGGUAUUAGUUACACUGGCUGUUGAUCUGAAGCUUUCAGGAACAAUACAGGAUGUAGCCAAACAGGAAAGAAACAUAUCUUUGUUCCCCCUGGGGCUGCAACUUAACCAUUGUUAAAACUGAUUUAUUUGUGGGUUAUUUUUGGAUCAGUUGAUGGGUUAUAAAUUUAGAUGAUAAAAGGCGCAAAGAAAGUUUUCAAGAGGUCAACACAACAUCGUCAAACUGACCAAGAGUUAGAAAUCUAACAAUCUUCAGUCACACAAGACGAGCAGAAAAGUGUCAAACUUACUCUAAAUGUCAGUGAAUAAGAGGAUAUGGCUGAAGCUUCAUGUAAAGUACUGUGUGGUUUUCCUGCUAUUAUUAGCCGGCAGUCUGAUAAGAGAAGUAUCUGAUGAUAGAGACACAGCAGAAAACUUCAACUGGUGCGUUUUGGAAUGCUGGACACGCCUCAAACCAAACCAGGACUUCAUAUUUAUGGAUUUACUUCAAGAAUCCAGGAAAAAAUGUAGGCCUUCAAGCAAUAUCUCACAGAAAGCUGGCAGAUUCUUUUGGAUGGUCCCUGCGGUGAAAGAGGCUUAAAGAGGUUUAAAGUGACUGAUAACACGUCUCGCAUACAGUUACUCAGCUUAGUUAAAGGAGGGGCUGUUCUUAUCAACUACAAAGACGCAUAACAAAGGCAAAUUGAUCACAUUAUCACUUAAAAUGAUAACAGAUACCUGAGAGAGUGAGUACAGGUCGACACAGAGACAUACAUCAGACAGACAGGUGUUUAAAGUCAGUGACACAGAUAAGCUCCUUGUUUGAGGGGCAUGGUUUUGGUUCACUUCGUAAAUCAACCAAAAAAGGGCAGCCAAAGUUGCUUUCACUCACACCGUCAGAGCAUGCAGAGCCAAACCUAACACAAGUCCCCUUCAGACAUGCACUAAGGCCCGAACUACACAAAGGCGGAUAUUUAUUUAUCUGGAUAUUUUUGUACUCCCGUCUAAAUAAAUGUACCUGUCCACACGUGUUAGUUCAAAAAAAUAUCUGCGUCCACACGUAGGCUUCAAACUCAAUCCUAUCUGGAGCCGCUUUGACAUACGAAAGUUUAGCUUCCAUUCAUCUGCAGGCACAGCCCCUCUAACGAAGUUGUCCCACCACUUGCUGGUCCGACCGGGU
This is a non-coding RNA of Xyrichtys novacula (pearly razorfish), 7833 nucleotides long. NCBI's taxonomy places the organism in Eukaryota, Metazoa, Chordata, Actinopteri, Labriformes, Labridae. The record is from the annotation of a GenBank genome assembly.